RNAcentral lists this ribosomal RNA (557 nucleotides) under uncultured Methylobacterium sp. RNAcentral describes it as "bacterial SSU rRNA". It matches the Rfam family "Bacterial small subunit ribosomal RNA", at positions 102 to 694 of the family's 1533-position model. Lineage: Bacteria; Pseudomonadati; Pseudomonadota; Alphaproteobacteria; Hyphomicrobiales; Methylobacteriaceae. The record is from RNAcentral.
ACGGGUGAGUAACACGUGGGAACGUACCCUUCGGUUCGGAAUAACGCUGGGAAACUAGCGCUAAUACCGGAUACGCCCUUAUGGGGAAAGGUUUACUGCCGAAGGAUCGGCCCGCGUCUGAUUAGCUAGUUGGUGGGGUAAUGGCCUACCAAGGCGACGAUCAGUAGCUGGUCUGAGAGGAUGAUCAGCCACACUGGGACUGAGACACGGCCCAGACUCCUACGGGAGGCAGCAGUGGGGAAUAUUGGACAAUGGGCGCAAGCCUGAUCCAGCCAUGCCGCGUGAGUGAUGAAGGCCUUAGGGUUGUAAAGCUCUUUUGUCCGGGACUAUAAUGACGGUACCGGAAGAAUAAGCCCCGGCUAACUUCGUGCCAGCAGCCGCGGUAAUACGGAGGGGGCUAGCGUUGCUCGGAAUCACUGGGCGUAAAGGGCGCGUAGGCGGCCAUUCAAGUCGGGGGUGAAAGCCUGUGGCUCAACCACAGAAUUGCCUUCGAUACUGUUUGGCUUGAGUAUGGCAGAGGUCAGUGGAACUGCGAGUGUAGAGGUGAAAUUCGUAGA